UUCCCUCCUGGUUUCCCUGGUCUGGUUCCCUCCUGGUUUCCCUGGUCUGGUUCCCUCCUGGUUUCCCUGGUCUGGUUCCCUCCUGGUUUCUCUGGUCUGGUCCCCUCCUGGUUUCCCUGUCCAGUUCCCCCUUGGGGCUGUUCCCACUUGGGAUCCCGGGAGGCCCCUGGGGGAGGUGAGGGGAAAAUGGGGUUGCAGAAGCUCUGUGCUGCUGGGUGAAGGGUUGUAUGACCUGAGGGUGUUUCACAGGAAUUGGGAUGAUGCAAACCCCACAGCUCUUCAUUUUCCCCUCCCUCCCCCCCUCCAGACCUGUCUGUGCUCCCCAGCAUCCUCCCCUCUGCCAGGAGCAGAGUCCUUUGGGUUUUGCCCAUCCAAGGAGUGGCUGUGCCUGCACUCCUGCCUCUGCUUGAGCUCUGGGGAGGGUUUGCUGCUGACUCCAGCCGAGCCAGGACACUGUGCAGAGCAGAGCCAGGCACUGAUGCAAUCCAGAGUUGCUGUGCUGGCACUGCCAGGGAGUCACGCUGGAUUAGCCGGGGUCAGAGGCUGGGUUAAUCCCUGGUGCUAUUCUGGGCCGGGAUCAUGGUAUGAAUUGCCCUAUAUAAACCCUCCCAGGGUGCUGGGGCAGCGAUGUUUUGUGAUCCCACUGGGCAGCAUCCAGGUGUUUUCCCCCUCUGCCCACCUUGCACACAGUAGAGACGGCUCUAGAUCCGUGUCCUCGGUUCUGCCUUGGCCUUACACCAGAUUUAUCACUGUGCAAUAAACUCCAGUGGCACUCAGGUUCCUCCUGGCUGUGCCCUGGUGGGAGGGAGGCUGGGGUUGGGCUCUCUUGGCACAGCUCAGGCUUCAGGAACCACGUCUGCGCUGCCUCAGUGCUCCCAAGGGCUGUCACACUGAGCUCUCCUUAACUCAGCACCUCAUUCGUGGCCUUCCCUCCCUGUCCCAGAAACCAAAUCCUCCUCUGGAAUCAAUGCACAAGGAUUUUUGAAGAUGGGAGAAGCUCUGAGCCGGGGGGUUUUUGGGCUG
Long non-coding RNA from Neopelma chrysocephalum (saffron-crested tyrant-manakin), 1023 nucleotides. RefSeq lists it as uncharacterized. The record is from RefSeq and is a predicted model, not a curated record. The transcript has 3 exons. NCBI's taxonomy places the organism in Eukaryota, Metazoa, Chordata, Aves, Passeriformes, Pipridae.